AACGAACGCUGGCGGCGUGGAUUAGGCAUGCAAGUCGAGCGAGAAAGGGGGGGGGUAACUCCCCUGAGUAAAGCGGCAAACUGGUGAGUAACAGGUGGGUAACGUGCCCGGAAAUGGGGAAUAACUCCUGGAAACAGGGGCUAAUACCGCAUGUGGCUCAGGAGUCCCCGGACUCUGGAGUUAAAGGUUCCUUAAGCAAUUGAGGAGUCGUUUCCGGAUCGGCCCGCCCCUGAUUAGCUAGUUGGUAGGGUAAAAGCCUACCAAGGCGACGAUCAGUAGCUGGCCUGAGAGGGUGGUCAGCCACAAUGGGACUGAGAUACGGCCCAUACUCCUACGGGGGGCAGCAGUCUAGAGGCUUCCGCAAUGGGGGAAACCCUGACGGAGCGACGCCGCGUGUGGGAUGAAGUCUUUCGGGAUGUAAACCAUUUUCGCUGGGAAAGAAGGUCUCAGUCGUGAACUGAGAAUUGACGUACCGGUAAGAAGCCCGGCUAACCCGUGCCAGCAGCCGGCGGUAAACUCGUCUCUA
RNAcentral lists this ribosomal RNA (526 nucleotides) under uncultured bacterium. RNAcentral describes it as "bacterial SSU rRNA". It matches the Rfam family "Bacterial small subunit ribosomal RNA", at positions 29 to 537 of the family's 1533-position model. The record is from RNAcentral.